UAAGGUGACUUUAGCGGUGGUGUCCACCUCUUCCCAUUCCGAACAGAGAAGUUAAGCCCACCAGCGCCGAUGGUACUGCCAAACCAGGUGGGAGAGUAGGUCGUCGCCAACC
RNAcentral lists this ribosomal RNA (112 nucleotides) under Lentimicrobium saccharophilum. The record is from RNAcentral. Lineage: Bacteria; Pseudomonadati; Bacteroidota; Bacteroidia; Bacteroidales; Lentimicrobiaceae. RNAcentral also lists the same sequence under 2 other names.